AGGAUGAACGCUGGCGGCGUGCCUAAUACAUGCAAGUCGAGCGAAUGGAUUAAGAGCUUGCUCUUAUGAAGUUAGCGGCGGACGGGUGAGUAACACGUGGGUAACCUGCCCAUAAGACUGGGAUAACUCCGGGAAACCGGGGCUAAUACCGGAUAACAUUUUGAACCGCAUGGUUCGAAAUUGAAAGGCGGCUUCGGCUGUCACUUAUGGAUGGACCCGCGUCGCAUUAGCUAGUUGGUGAGGUAACGGCUCACCAAGGCAACGAUGCGUAGCCGACCUGAGAGGGUGAUCGGCCACACUGGGACUGAGACACGGCCCAGACUCCUACGGGAGGCAGCAGUAGGGAAUCUUCCGCAAUGGACGAAAGUCUGACGGAGCAACGCCGCGUGAGUGAUGAAGGCUUUCGGGUCGUAAAACUCUGUUGUUAGGGAAGAACAAGUGCUAGUUGAAUAAGCUGGCACCUUGACGGUACCUAACCAGAAAGCCACGGCUAACUACGUGCCAGCAGCCGCGGUAAUACGUAGGUGGCAAGCGUUAUCCGGAAUUAUUGGGCGUAAAGCGCGCGCAGGUGGUUUCUUAAGUCUGAUGUGAAAGCCCACGGCUCAACCGUGGAGGGUCAUUGGAAACUGGGAGACUUGAGUGCAGAAGAGGAAAGUGGAAUUCCAUGUGUAGCGGUGAAAUGCGUAGAGAUAUGGAGGAACACCAGUGGCGAA
This 713-nucleotide ribosomal RNA is filed under the name Bacillus anthracis str. A0488. RNAcentral describes it as "bacterial SSU rRNA". It matches the Rfam family "Bacterial small subunit ribosomal RNA", at positions 26 to 719 of the family's 1533-position model. The record is from RNAcentral. Lineage: Bacteria; Bacillati; Bacillota; Bacilli; Caryophanales; Bacillaceae.